AGAGUUUGAUCCUGGCUCAGGACGAACGCUGGCGGCGUGCUUAACACAUGCAAGUCGAGCGAGGCCCUCCUUCGGGGGGUGCCCUAGCGGCGAACGGGUGAGUAACACGUGGGUAACCUGCCCUCAGCUCUGGGAUAACUCCAAGAAAUUGGUGCUAAUACCGGAUGUGACCGCUGACCGCAUGGUCUGGUGGUGGAAAGAUUUAUCGGCUGAGGAUGGGCCCGCGGCCUAUCAGCUUGUUGGUGGGGUCACGGCCCACCAAGGCGACGACGGGUAGCCGGCCUGAGAGGGUGACCGGCCACACUGGGACUGAGACACGGCCCAGACUCCUACGGGAGGCAGCAGUGGGGAAUAUUGCGCAAUGGGCGAAAGCCUGACGCAGCGACGCCGCGUGAGGGAUGACGGCCUUCGGGUUGUAAACCUCUUUCAGUAGGGACGAAGCGCAAGUGACGGUACCUACAGAAGAAGCACCGGCCAACUACGUGCCAGCAGCCGCGGUAAUACGUAGGGUGCAAGCGUUGUCCGGAAUUAUUGGGCGUAAAGAGCUCGUAGGCGGUCUGUCACGUCGGCUGUGAAAACCCGAGGCUCAACCUCGGGCCUGCAGUCGAUACGGGCAAACUAGAGUACUGCAGGGGAGACUGGAAUUCCUGGUGUAGCGGUGAAAUGCGCAGAUAUCAGGAGGAACACCGGUGGCGAAGGCGGGUCUCUGGGCAGUAACUGACGCUGAGGAGCGAAAGCGUGGGGAGCGAACAGGAUUAGAUACCCUAGUAGUCC
This 774-nucleotide ribosomal RNA is filed under the name uncultured bacterium. RNAcentral's name for it is "bacterial SSU rRNA". It matches the Rfam family "Bacterial small subunit ribosomal RNA", at positions 8 to 796 of the family's 1533-position model. The record is from RNAcentral.